UUCGUUACACAGCACACUUGGUGUCGAAUCUUGUUCUUCACAAACCAGAGGGUUUUCCUCAGCAACAUCAUUCACACUGCAAGAUUUGUUCCAAUCUUCCAAUUCGCUACAGACACCAGUCACCAAAUCCUGCACAAGCAAACCUUGGGAAGAAAUGUGUUUCUGCAUCUCAGUUAGUUCAUGCUUCAUCUCCACAACUUCCUCUGAAAUUCUGCAAUCAGAGGCAUAUAUAAGUACAUGCAUUGCCCAAGUUAUACAUUUAGAAAGGAAAGAGAUACCUUAAGUACAAUAAAGCAAUGGAACUUUACAAAUGAGGAAAUUAUUUCACAGAACCUGAAUAAAAGAAUCAUAAUAUGUAAUCACAAACUAAAAGAAAAACUCUCCUACUUCAUUCAAGAAAUGUUAGUAUAUUGAUAUGCUUAAUUGCUUAUACUUAAUGGGAUUUCCAAAUUGUACAAAAUUGCACGCUCCAUCACAUCACUGACACAUUCCACUGAAUUUGUAUGGCCAAGGAAACGAUUUACCUUUUUUAGAACGGAGAUAAAAAAAGAUAUGUGCAAAGUACAGCUUUCCAUCCCAAAUUCAACUAACUUAACGUGUUAUAUAAAGCAUCCAAGAUAACUCUUGCCAGGAAGUAGACGUUAUUUAAGCCAUACAUAAACCAGAAUAACUCUUGGCAAGAAAAUAAAUUCAUACACAGACAUCAGUGGUGGACUUAUUUCUUUCAAAACAUAUGCAUUUCAAAUUCAAUUUUGAAAAGUCAAUAGGAUGACUGAUUACCAAAAAAAAAAGAAAAGAAGAGGAA
Molecule: long non-coding RNA, 805 nt
Organism: Rhodamnia argentea
Lineage: Eukaryota; Viridiplantae; Streptophyta; Magnoliopsida; Myrtales; Myrtaceae
Exons: 2
Source: RefSeq, a predicted model, not a curated record